GAGAUGAUACUAUAAAAUAAAGCCAAAGUAAACUUCUAACAAUAGGGUCUAAGCCUGUUUGGUCCUCAUUGGAUGUCUCUCCACUUGUAGAGGAAAAUUACUGGGGAAUAACAAUUGUGUCAUCAUGACAAACAACUGACAUAGCUGAGGCCCGUUGAAGUCCCAGAGCAACCUUGGUCCUGUAGUCAGAGAUGACUUGUGAAAAUAAAUGCAUCUGGCUCAUUGACUUGAGUUCUUGUACCCAAACUGGAAAGAUUCAGAGCCAGGGUUGAGUCCUCCUUACAGGGCGAGUUCUCUGACAAGGAAGUUUUGCAACCUAAUUUACAGCUGGAGCCAAGCUUGUCAGUGAGUGCCAGAGGGAAACUGUCGCAAUCGGCUGGCUAAGUAUAUUCAUUUAACAAGGGAAGUCUCCGAGGAGCUAUCAAAAACUGCUUGUCAUCUUUCCAAAUCAUCUCUGUCUGCAGUGGCCAUGUCUUAAUCCUGAAGGACAACAAGGGGAUAAAUGAACAGCUCAGCACCAUCCUGGAGGGGCUCACUCAGCAGAGAGGAGGAACAAUCACUCCUAGGAUACUCUCUCAUCUGGGAUACCUUACAAUGUGUCAGAGCACCCCUGAACCCAAGGCAUGUGUAUGUGUAUAUAUAUUUUUUAAGAUAAAGAGUUUUGCUAUUAAAGUGUUCAGCCUGGAAGAACAAUGAAAAAGCCUAAGUUUCAAUGAGAU
RNAcentral lists this long non-coding RNA (719 nucleotides) under Piliocolobus tephrosceles (Ugandan red Colobus). RNAcentral describes it as "lncRNA (ENSPTEG00000027839.1)". The record is from RNAcentral. Lineage: Eukaryota; Metazoa; Chordata; Mammalia; Primates; Cercopithecidae.